UACGAAGGGGGCUAGCGUUGCUCGGAAUCACUGGGCGUAAAGCGCACGUAGGCGGAUCGUUAAGUCGGAGGUGAAAUCCUGGAGCUCAACUCCAGAACUGCCUUCGAUACUGGCGAUCUUGGAGUCCGGGAGAGGUGAGUGGAACUCCGAGUGUAGAGGUGAAAUUCGUAGAUAUUCGGAAGAACACCAGUGGCGAAGGCGGCUCACUGGCCCGGUACUGACGCUGAGGUGCGAAAGCGUGGGGAGCAAACGGG
Molecule: ribosomal RNA, 254 nt
Filed under: uncultured bacterium
Lineage: Bacteria
Description: partial 16S ribosomal RNA
Rfam family: Bacterial small subunit ribosomal RNA
Source: RNAcentral